AGGCCCUUCCCAAUUCCUAUUCUGUGCAACUUUUCCACCAUUGUAAUCACCAUUCCUUUCUCUAUAGGUUGACUAAAGAAAAACAACCAACCGUAAAGGUGAGUCGGCAGAGCCACCGUACCAGAAAACUCCAUCGCCGUUAAGCUUCAGUUUUUUAACUUUUUUUGGCCAACCGAGGCCUCUUAACGUGUUUUAUCGAAGGGAUAGAUACAAAAUCAGCCCACCCGAGGCAAACCGCCACAGUGGGUGGUGGUACCAUCGUUGGAGCACGGCUGAGCCACCACACCAGAAUUUUAGAAUUGGCCAAAAAGGGUUUCU
RNAcentral lists this long non-coding RNA (318 nucleotides) under Carica papaya (papaya). Its description in RNAcentral is "long non-coding RNA (CPAP_LNC016296)". The record is from RNAcentral. Lineage: Eukaryota; Viridiplantae; Streptophyta; Magnoliopsida; Brassicales; Caricaceae.